This 610-nucleotide ribosomal RNA is filed under the name uncultured bacterium. RNAcentral's name for it is "bacterial SSU rRNA". The stretch from base 1 to 521 matches the Rfam family "Bacterial small subunit ribosomal RNA", at positions 338 to 873 of the family's 1533-position model. The record is from RNAcentral.
CCUACGGGAGGCAGCAGUGGGGAAUCUUGCGCAAUGGGCGAAAGCCUGACGCAGCAACGCCGCGUGCGGGAUGAAGGCCUUCGGGCUGUAAACCGCUUUCAGCAGGAACGAAAAUGACGGUACCUGCAGAGGAAGGAGCGGCCAACUACGUGCCAGCAGCCGCGGUGACACGUAGGCUCCAAGCGUUGUCCGGAUUUAUUGGGCGUAAAGAGCUCGUAGGCGGUCUAAUAAGUCGGGUGUGAAAACUCUGGGCUCAACCCGGAGACGCCAUCCGAUACUGUUAUGACUUGAGUUCAGGAGGGGAGCGGGGAAUUCCUAGUGUAGCGGUGAAAUGCGCAGAUAUUAGGAGGAACACCGGUGGCGAAGGCGCCGCUCUGGACUGAAACUGACGCUGAGGAGCGAAAGCAUGGGUAGCAAACAGGAUUAGAUACCCUGGUAGUCCAUGCCGUAAACGGUGGGCACUAGGUGUGGGUUUCAACUAACGAAAUCCGCGCCGUCGCUAACGCAUUAAGUGCCCCGCCUGGGGGAGGUACGGUCGCGAGAACGUAAACGUAACGAAAGAAGUAAGUACGACGUUGAGUAGUUGCGACGACGACGACGAGGGAGGAGG